Molecule: transfer RNA, 87 nt
Filed under: Trichoderma virens Gv29-8
Lineage: Eukaryota; Fungi; Ascomycota; Sordariomycetes; Hypocreales; Hypocreaceae
Description: tRNA-Arg for anticodon UCG
Rfam family: tRNA
About the family: Transfer RNA (tRNA) molecules are approximately 80 nucleotides in length. Their secondary structure includes four short double-helical elements and three loops (D, anti-codon, and T loops). Further hydrogen bonds mediate the characteristic L-shaped molecular structure. tRNAs have two regions of fundamental functional importance: the anti-codon, which is responsible for specific mRNA codon recognition, and the 3' end, to which the tRNAs corresponding amino acid is attached (by aminoacyl-tRNA synthetases). tRNAs cope with the degeneracy of the genetic code in two manners: having more than one tRNA (with a specific anti-codon) for a particular amino acid; and 'wobble' base-pairing, i.e. permitting non-standard base-pairing at the 3rd anti-codon position.
Source: Rfam by way of RNAcentral
GGCCGCGUGGCCUAAUGGCUAAGGCGCUAGAUUUCGGUUAUUACACACCCUCUCUAGAGAUUCCAGGUUCGACUCCUGGCGUGGUCG